Caenorhabditis elegans is the source of this 70-nucleotide small nucleolar RNA. The record is from Ensembl. Lineage: Eukaryota; Metazoa; Nematoda; Chromadorea; Rhabditida; Rhabditidae.
CCUCGAUGACGAUUCACCUAGCUCACUCAGACAUACAACUGGUGAUAAAAAAAUUUCGUGUCUUAGAGAC